GCCAAGAGAGAUCUCUUCACACACCAACCUCUUUGUGAGCGAACAGGACACCAGCCCCACCCAAAAUACUGUUAACCAUUGACUGAAAGGCCAGAGGGGACACUGACAUCCUGUCAAUCUUCUAGAAGUGAAAUAAGGAGGGCUAACAUGGACACUGCUCUUCUUAUGUGCCAGGAACUGGGCUAAGUCUUUUACUUAAUCAAUUCAUUGAAUCCUCAUGAUGGCUCUGUCAGGUAAGUAUGAUUUUAAUCUGCAUCUGCAGAGGAGAUACAGAGAAGUUAUGUAAUUCUGCCUUGGGUCCUACAUUGUAGAGUUGAGCUUCCAACUCAGCCUUCCAACUUCAGUGUUCGGGCAUUUAACCCCGACCUAUGCUGCUGUGUGAUCCAAGGGAAGCAUUAAGCAAAAAAAGAUGCAAGUUCAAAAGAUGUUGAUUUUCAGAUGUAGGAUGAUUGGUUUGAAACAUUGUAGCCUGUUUCAGUCCCCCAGUGUCCAGCAGUAACUUCCUCCAAAUAACUCAAUAUAACCAUUCAGAUGGAUAUUUACUUACCUGAGCAGACUCAGAAUAAUGAAAAUCUGCCCUAUUUGGUGGAACAGAUAUUCUUUAUAACUUUUAUUUAUUUUUGACAUGCAUGUAUUGAAUUGCACUCUUAUGGUUUUAUCUAAUCCUUAUUGGCUAUAAAGCUGAUUUUACCCACAGUAGAUUUGUCAGGCAUGAUUCUUCUUAGAUUUGGUUGGAGUCAUGGUAAUGACACUUCCCCAAAGUUUCUUCAUCAGCAUUGGUAGGAAAAGAAGAAAUUCACUUGGCUGGUGACAAGCUAUGAGGAGCUUCAGGGGAGGUGCUGGAGAUUGGAGAAAGAACAGGAAGUACCCCCAUGUGUUCCUACACUACUGUGAGCUCCACUCAAGUAGAACAGAUCCCUGUCCUGGGAUGGAGUCCUUCCUAUACACUCUCAGAAUAGCCCUCCUCUCUUACCUUCAUUUACAUAAAAUAAAACUGAGUUUUCACUGAGGCUUUCAUAAGAGACACAGUAGAGACAUAUUUAUAACACCACUCAGAAUUUUACUUUUAAAUAAAUCACCCCUCAGAUUUGUUUCUUCUUUCUCAAAUUCUUCUCUGGACUUGUUUCUGGGUUUCAUAUCUUUCUGAAGAUCUCUCCCAUUAGGCCGCCUCCAGUUUCUUCCAUGUUUCCAGAAACUUCUCCCUUCCGUUUUCUCAUUUCUUACACAGAGCCAACAUUUCAGCAGUGAGAAUAAAAAGCCAUUAUACAAAGGUUGGCUUUGAACUCCAAACAAAAGAAAACAAAGAUAUCCCAAACUAUUUGAUUUCAUCCUCCCUAGAAUAUGGUAGGGCAAAAAUGUAAUUUUUCCCCACCACAAAAUGUAUUUCUUGUCACUUUCUAAAAAAAAAAAUAUUUAUUUUGUUAUAGAUAUAGGUGGAUACAAUACUUUUAUUUUAUUUUUAUGUGGUGCUGAGGAUCGAACCCAGUGCCUCGUGCAUGCUAGGUGAGCUCUACCGCUGAGCCACAAUCCCAGCCCUUUGUCACUUUUUUUAAACAUCUUAUAAGUAUUCAUUUAUAUGUGCUCAACUGGUGGAAAAAUAAAUUCUAUGUGUACAAGUCUUCCAUUGUAACUGAUACUUUUCUUCAAAGCCCAAAAUUUUGAAAAGUAGAAUUAUCUUAAGAACAGGCUGCAGUUGUUCCAAGGGCCUGAUGAGAUCUAGCCCUGAUUAUUAUGCAAAGACUGCAUCUUAAAGAAACAAAUCAUGUUUGGCUUCACCAAACUAAUCAUAAUCCAGGCUUUUAUUUCCCUGUUUCCUGGGAAUAUUGACCUGGUUUCAAAGAAAAGUUUCAAAUAUAUUUUAAGUAAUAACUACAUCAUUGCAAUAAGUGUAGAGCCUUGGGUAAAGUCUGGAUAUGCACAACACAAAUUUGGAUGUAUAGAUUUCUUUGUGCUUUUUAAUAACACCAUCAGUCCUUUUAACUAUGGUCACCCCUCAUAGGUUGCACAUUCCCUAUGGGCACUGAAAUUAAAGAAGAGGUAAAAUACAUCAUCAUUUGCUGUUUGGAUCUAGAAGGGAACAGAGUAAAGAGUAUAAAAGCAUGUAAGUAUUACCAGGAACAGAAAAAAAAUCAUUAAAAAAUUCAUAACCAAUUAGGUGUCUGCAUGCACGCUAAUUACUAUCUGCUAGAGGUGUGCCAUCGAGAAUGGCAGGCUUGUCUAUGUGAAUGGGGAAAGUGUGAAUGAGUGAGCAUGCUUGUUCGUAGGUAGAACAAAUUCUUAUCUCACAGGUUCAAAUUCUCCAGGCUCAUGAAUAUGACACAUUAAUAUUCAUUAAGUGGAACACAUUAUCAUUUUAGAAGGAGAUUACUGGGGACUCACUAUUUUCAUUCCAUCACAUUUUCCAAUUAGGAAUCCCACUUUUGCAAAUAAUCAGCUUUCUGUUGCCAAGGGCUUUUCAGCUGCUUUCUGGCAAGGGGGUUUGGAGCUAAGUUCAGCAUCCAUUUAAGAAUGAGGAAAAAAACCUGAAGUACAAUUAUAUGUUUUAAUGACAGGUUAAUCUUGCUGCGGUGAACCUGAUCAGAGAAGAACCAAACUCAGAAAGGAGAAGGCAUGAACUCCUUUUGGGGAAAAGGAGCACAGAUAAUGAAGCUUGAGGAGUUCACAGUUUUACUGGUCGCCUGCAGUUACAGAGAAAUAAAACUCACCCUGUAAAGAUCUUGGAACUCUCAUUGAUCCAGGAGAAGCCAUGUAAAAGGAGACCUAGGGCUAUGGAAAUGAACCAAGUUCAGGGUUGACAACCAUCCAUGAAGGCUGAUAACAGCAGGGAAGGAAACAAUGAACGAAUGUGUGCAUUUCCUCCAGAUUUGGAGGAAAGUUAGACAAUUUUGUUAGGCUUUAUGAUUUUGUUAAUGAAUUAACCAGAAGAAACAGUAGUCAAAGACCAAUUUGAUUUUGAAAAGAGCCAAAUAAAUUUGGAAUAAACUGUUUUGAUA
This 2993-nucleotide long non-coding RNA is filed under the name Marmota monax (woodchuck). The record is from RNAcentral. Lineage: Eukaryota; Metazoa; Chordata; Mammalia; Rodentia; Sciuridae.